GAUGAACGCUAGCUACAGGCUUAACACAUGCAAGUCGAGGGGCAGCACUAGGUAGCAAUACUGAGGUGGCGACCGGCGCACGGGUGCGUAACGCGUAUCCAACCUUCCCGUUACUCUUGGAUAGCCUUCCGAAAGGGAGAUUAAUACCGAAUAACAUAGAGUGAUUGCCUGAUUUCUCUAUGAAAGCUCCGGCGAUGAAGGAUGGGGAUGCGUUCCAUUAGGUAGUAGGCGGGGUAACGGCCCACCUAGCCGACGAUGGAUAGGGGUUCUGAGAGGAAGGUCCCCCACACUGGAACUGAGACACGGUCCAGACUCCUACGGGAGGCAGCAGUGAGGAAUAUUGGUCAAUGGCCGGGAGGCUGAACCAGCCAUGCCGCGUGAAGGUCACGGCCCUAUGGGUCUUAAACUUCUUUUGUAAGGGAGCAAUAAGGUCCACGUGUGGACUGAUGAGAGUACCUUACGAAUAAGCAUCGGCUAACUCCGUG
This 485-nucleotide ribosomal RNA is filed under the name uncultured bacterium. RNAcentral's name for it is "bacterial SSU rRNA". It matches the Rfam family "Bacterial small subunit ribosomal RNA", at positions 28 to 507 of the family's 1533-position model. The record is from RNAcentral.